This 849-nucleotide ribosomal RNA is filed under the name Agromyces sp. RNAcentral's name for it is "bacterial SSU rRNA". It matches the Rfam family "Bacterial small subunit ribosomal RNA", at positions 21 to 872 of the family's 1533-position model. The record is from RNAcentral. Lineage: Bacteria; Bacillati; Actinomycetota; Actinomycetes; Micrococcales; Microbacteriaceae.
GGCUCAGGACGAACGCUGGCGGCGUGCUUAACACAUGCAAGUCGAACGAUGAUCUCCAGCUUGCUGGGGGGAUUAGUGGCGAACGGGUGAGUAACACGUGAGUAACCUGCCCUGGACUCUGGGAUAACCCCGAGAAAUCGGAGCUAAUACCGGAUAGGACCUGGAACCGCAUGGUUUUGGGUGGAAAGUUUUUCGGUCUGGGAUGGACUCGCGGCCUAUCAGCUUGUUGGUGAGGUAAUGGCUCACCAAGGCGUCGACGGGUAGCCGGCCUGAGAGGGUGACCGGCCACACUGGGACUGAGACACGGCCCAGACUCCUACGGGAGGCAGCAGUGGGGAAUAUUGCACAAUGGGCGCAAGCCUGAUGCAGCAACGCCGCGUGCGGGAUGACGGCCUUCGGGUUGUAAACCGCUUUUAGUAAGGAAGAAGGGAAGCGCAAGCUUUUUGACGGUACUUGCAGAAAAAGGACCGGCUAACUACGUGCCAGCAGCCGCGGUAAUACGUAGGGUCCGAGCGUUGUCCGGAAUUAUUGGGCGUAAAGAGCUCGUAGGCGGUUUGUCGCGUCUGCUGUGAAAUCCCGAGGCUCAACCUCGGGUCUGCAGUGGGUACGGGCAGACUGGAGUGCGGUAGGGGAGAAUGGAAUUCCUGGUGUAGCGGUGGAAUGCGCAGAUAUCAGGAGGAACACCGAUGGCGAAGGCAGUUCUCUGGGCCGUAACUGACGCUGAGGAGCGAAAGCGUGGGGAGCGAACAGGAUUAGAUACCCUGGUAGUCCACGCCGUAAACGUUGGGCGCUAGAUGUGGGGACCUUUCCACGGUUUCCGUGUCGUAGCUAACGCAUUAAGCGCCCCGC